Molecule: long non-coding RNA, 833 nt
Organism: Marmota monax (woodchuck)
Lineage: Eukaryota; Metazoa; Chordata; Mammalia; Rodentia; Sciuridae
Exons: 3
Source: RefSeq, a predicted model, not a curated record
GGGCCUUGGUGGGCUCAUAAACGUACUUGCGGUACCGACCCUCUGCGCCCUCGUCGGCCGCCUUUCGCUUCAGUGACACGCCGGCGUCCGCGCUCGGAGUGGCCGCCUGGAAGCCGUAGGAGGACCAGAGAGAAGAAAUGAAGAGCCUGGGCAUUAGGAGCGAGGGGAUCCGAAGUAGCCUCAGUCUCCUGUCACUGCCCCGUCACCAUGCUGGGGAAUCUCCGGGCCAGUAACCCAGCCCCCACCCCCUCCCACACACUCAGGGGCCGCUGGACAAAGACCUGACGGAGUGGGAGGGGCCUGCGGGCCAGCCCUCGGGCUCCGACCGCAGGAUCCUCUGGGACCCGAACCCACAAAUCUUGGCUUUUGCCCCCUACCCCCCAACCUCCCCAGAGCAGGCUGCUUGCUAUCCCUGCAGCCUCGACACCAGAGAGGACGGCCAAACGGGUGCCCGUCGGCUGCCCCAGCGGCUAGCCCCUACGGUGCCCGCCCCCUCCCCCCGGGAAGUGACCCUGGGCUCCCACGCACCCGCUCGGGUCUCUUGCCGGCCUUGCCCUCCGACCUCCGCUUAGUUGAACCCCGCGACCCGCAGCCCCCGCCCUCGCUGGCCCUCGCACGGCCCUGCGCCCGCGGACAAAGCUCCGGACACCCUGACCGAACAGUCACCACCCCCUGACCCCGGCCCGCCCGCGCGCUCCCGCGCCUGCCCCCGCCCGGGCCCGCGACGCGUACCUCGGCAUCCCGGCCGGGUCCUAGGUGAGCUGAGCACCUACUGCGUGCCGGACUCUGCUGCGCCGCCAGUCGGGACGCAGAGGGCAGGACGCAAAGCCAGG